UAUCGUUGAUUCGCUUUUC
This 19-nucleotide unclassified non-coding RNA is filed under the name Dictyostelium discoideum. The record is from RNAcentral. Lineage: Eukaryota; Evosea; Eumycetozoa; Dictyosteliales; Dictyosteliaceae.